GACGAACGCUGGCGGCGUGCUUAACACAUGCAAGUCGAACGGAAAGGCUCUGCUUUUGUGGGGUGCUCGAGUGGCGAACGGGUGAGUAACACGUGAGUAACCUGCCCUUGACUUUGGGAUAACUUCAGGAAACUGGGGCUAAUACCGGAUAGGAGCUCCUGCUGCAUGGUGGGGGUUGGAAAGUUUCGGCGGUUGGGGAUGGACUCGCGGCUUAUCAGCUUGUUGGUGGGGUAGUGGCUUACCAAGGCUUUGACGGGUAGCCGGCCUGAGAGGGUGACCGGACACAUUGGGACUGAGAUACGGCACAGACUCGUACGGGAGGCAGCAGUGGGGAAUAUUGCACAAUGGGCGGAAGCCUGAUGUAGCAAAGCAGCGUGCGGGAUGACGGCCUGCGGGUUGUAAACCGCUUUCGCCUGUGACGAAGCGUGAGUGACGGUAAUGGGUAAAGAAGCACCGGCUAACUACGUG
Molecule: ribosomal RNA, 468 nt
Filed under: uncultured bacterium
Lineage: Bacteria
Description: partial 16S ribosomal RNA
Rfam family: Bacterial small subunit ribosomal RNA
Source: RNAcentral